UACGAGUGGUGCAAGCGUUAUUCGGAAUGAUUGGGCGUAAAGGGUGCGCAGACGGCGCGCUAAGUCAACUGUUAAAUUUCCCGGCCUAACUGGGAGCAAGCGGUAGAUACUGGCGUGCUUGAGGGCGGAAGAGAGGAGUGGAAUUCUCGGAGUAGCGGUAAAAUGCGUAGAUCUCGAGAGGAACACCAAUGGCGAAGGCAGCUCCUUGGUCCUUCCCUGACGUUCAUGCACGAAAGCGUGGGGAG
RNAcentral lists this ribosomal RNA (245 nucleotides) under uncultured bacterium. RNAcentral describes it as "partial 16S ribosomal RNA". It matches the Rfam family "Bacterial small subunit ribosomal RNA", at positions 524 to 768 of the family's 1533-position model. The record is from RNAcentral.